ACCCAGAGGCAGCGGUCGUAGAAGCGCUGCACCCCAGCACACACACACACACACACACACACACACACCACCUGCUGGUUGCAUCUUGCAAGCGAAGAUUCCUCUCUCUCUCUCUGCCGUGUUACUCCGUCGACACCCCAUCCACCCACCCACCCCAAAGCCUUCUUUCAGAGGCACCUUGUGUGCCGUGCUGUCGCCUAUCCACUCGGGCUCUCGCGGUCCCUCUUCGCUUCUCCUCCCACCCCACGCCACCCGUCGCUGUGAGAGCGAGAGGUGCGGGCCACGCAACGCGGCACCCAUCUAUAUAGUCACGCGCGGUGCAUGACGCCGUAGAAGCAAUGAUAAACCAUGUCCCUCGCCCACACAUCCACCAGCGGAUCUCGGUGGAGGACAUCAUGAAGGGCAACCGCCGCGCCCUGGCCAAGGCCAUCACCCUUGCCGAGAGCUCCAACCCUGCCGACUCCAUUCGCCUGGGCAACCUGCUCCGCGAGGUUCACCAGAUGGCGACGCUGCGCACCGUGCCGCGCUUCGCGCUCUCUGGCAGCCCCGGUUCCGGUAAGUCAAGCCUCCUGGACACACUCGGAUACUACCUGUGCGAGAAGAAGAGCAUGCGCGUUGGCGUUCUGGCUGUCGACCCAUCCUCUACCAUCACGCACGGCAGCAUCCUCGGUGACAAGACCCGCAUGGAGAAGCUUGGCACGCACCUGAACUCGUACAUCCGUCCAUCGCCAUCCGGUGGGCACCUCGGCGGCGUCACCUCGCGUGCAUGGGAGGUGCUGGAGAUCUUCGAGGCCGCGAGCUUCGACGUCGUCUUUGUCGAGACCGUCGGCGUUGGCCAGAGCGAGACACAGUGCAAGGACCUCACGGAUAUGAUGAUCCUCCUCGUGCCGCCCGCCAGCGGGGAUGAGCUUCAGGGCAUCAAGAAAGGCGUCGUCGAGGUGGCGGACAUGGUCGUUGUCACGAAAAACGAUGGCAGACGCAAGCCCCUGGUGCAGCAGACCACGUCCGCCUACGCCCGCGCCGUCAUGUACACGGAGAAAAAGCAGGGCUUCGAGAAGCCGGUCAUCGCCGUCUCCGCCGAGGAAGGGACGAACGUGCCGGAGCUGUGGGAGGCGAUGAUGCAGAUGUGGAACACACGCCUCGAGAGCGGCCAGGUCGCUCACCUGCGCCGCGCCCAAUCGACGAAGCACUUCUACAACUACUUCGAGAUGGAGCUUCUGGCGAAGGCGCGGCGGAUGGCGAACCUGGAGAUGCAGAACAUGGCGCACCGCGUCUGGGAACACGAGAUGACACCGCGCGAGGCGGGCGACAUCAUGGUGCUGCGCACGUUGCGGGAGCACUUGGCAGCGGAAGCGGCCGUGCAGCAUGGCGCUGGAACAAUGGCGUGAGGGGAGAGCGAGCCGAGCGUGACUGGAAGGUAGAGAGCGAGGUGAACCGUCGUGGGAGGCACAAGGAGGAGAGAGAGAGAGACGCAACGGUAGAUAAACUGGCUGAUCGGGGUGCACACCCACCCACCCACCCACACACACACACACACACACACACAGGGGAGAGCGUAAGCAGCAACUCAGCUGCACUCUACCACCACUCUCCUGGCCCCCUCGCCUCCCCCACCCCUUAUCCUCUCGCCUCUUGCGGCUCCGUGAAGGAGGUGUUGGUGUGGAGGGAUGGAGGCCUGGAGAGCGGUGGUAGAGGAGCGGUCGAUGAAGCGCUGUCUUCACCGAAGGGACCGUAGUGCGGCACGCGAGCGCACCUCUUUCCGAGUCGGGGGAGGGGAUAUCAGCCUUUGCGGUGCACCACUGCAUCACCCACGCCACGCUUUCUUGGAUAACCGCCACGACGGUGCACCGUCACGGCCGCCCUUCUUCUUCUGCCUCUGCUCUGUCCGUCGUGUCGCCUCUAUUCCAGUGCCGCGCGGAUGUGGGAUGAGGCACGCAUGCGUGCACCACGCGCACUCCACCACCACCUCUCUCUCUCUGUCUCUCGUCUCUGCGUGAUCGUACUCUGUUCCCCAUCGGUGCCGUUGUGGGUGUGUCCUUCUUUUCCGUUGUUGGCAACGUGGUGAUCUUCACAUCCUGCACGCACACGCGCGCGCGCGCACACACACGCAUGUGUGCGUACGUGUAG
This 2127-nucleotide unclassified non-coding RNA is filed under the name Leishmania donovani. Its description in RNAcentral is "gene:LdHU3.03.0630(CDS-product:kinase-like_protei n)". The record is from RNAcentral. Lineage: Eukaryota; Euglenozoa; Kinetoplastea; Trypanosomatida; Trypanosomatidae.